GCAGAUCUUCUUCAACUCUUCUUCUCCUACUUCUAUCAUGGUAGAUCAGGCUUCUCAGUCACCUCGCACUCUCGUUUAUAUGAGGUCUUGGGUAGGCACAUCUCCAUCCACCAUUUUGCAUCUUAUGGCAACAGAAGGUAAGCUCUUCGUAUUGUUUUCCAUCGGGCUAUUCUAUCUCCACUUAUUCAUAUUGUUUGGUCCAAUUGAUAUGUCCUUAACUGAUGUGCGCACAUGGAGAACCCAUAUGUGCAGCUUAUCCAACUUGCUCAUCGCCCAAAUAAACAAGCCAAUAAUGCGCACCGUGGCUUCUCAACCACAUAAAUCUCAUGUAGAGUCUGCAAUGGAUUGUGCCUUGGAUAUAAAUUCGAUGCACCCGCAUUCAUAAAUGUCUUAUUGUUAGGAUAUUCAUUUUCAUCUAAAUCGACAUGCUGGCAGUAUUAUCGAUUUCAGCAUCAUUCAAAAGGGCUUAAGCAAUUAAUUUAUCGUUUUCCAUUUUUCAUUUUCCCCGAUUAGAUCGACGUCUUGUGCAUUUUGAGCAAAUAUGUUGUUUAUUCCAUGUGCACUUACUCAAUUUAUAAUUUCACAUAAGAUUACACUUCUUUUGUCAAUCCAUUUUUUCAUAUCCUCAAACUUUUCUUUUUUCACUCUUCUUGGGCACACCCAAAUCUUCCACUUGCUCCACUACCAUGUAUUAACAUCUUAACACUGUAAACAUGCAAAAACAUAUGAUCAGUAACUGUCCCACUCUUAAAUAUAAGUUUAUAUAUUAAUCAAGUCAGAAUUGUAGAUCUGACUUGGUCUCUGAUAACGACAAUUUACACUAAUAAAUGUCUGGGCAUUGACAAAUUAAAAUGUGGCAAUAUGGAGAGUAUGAAUUUUAAACAGACUAAGCUCCUUUUGUAUUGCCCCUAAAACAUUAAACCCUAAACCCUGAUUUUCUUUUUUGCUCGACCUCUUACCAAGGAAACUAUUUUAUUAUUUCCGGAAGCGGCACACAUUUUGAGGGAUGCCUCUUGUUUCCUUGGCAAACCCGAUGCAGUCCAACAUAGUUUGGGGUGUUCACAUUGCACAAUGCCGCAGCAUAUAUUUUAGACAUAUAUUUCUCAAAGAAAAAAAUUGCACGUGGUAUAAAGAAAUAAGUAAUUGCCAGUUGAUUAGUUGUCAUUGUCAUGAUUUGUGUACAUUCAGACGUUUAAAUGCGUGGAUAUGAUCAAAGAUAUGUCCAAUUGAUUGCAUGAGGAGGACAGUGUCGGGCAGGAAAAUAGCACACGAAUUUCAUUUAUUAUUGCAGAGUGAUACUAAAAUAAUAGUAGACGAGCCCUUUUAUAUGAUAAAUCGGUUGCUAUUGGCUGUGUAGGUUAUACUAUAUGUCACUGUCAAAAAUUUUGAACACAAGUUUUUCAACACGUUACUAAAGAUCCCCUAAUGAUUUGUUUACGUUGAUGCAUGAAGUGUUGGAUAAAUUUAUAUAAUAUGAAAUAUAAGAUUCCUUGGAAAUUUGUUGAAAAGGAUGGAAAAAAAUAAGAUAAAAUGUCUUAUGCGUGCAAGCUUAAGGAAAAUUCCAUCAUUCGAAGUAUGAAACCCAAUGCAAUAGACUCGAGGACUAUCCUCUUAAAAUAUAACAAACCUUCUUCUUUCUCCCAUUCAAAAUAAUAAAAGAAAUAGAAACAAUGUUAUAUGUCUCAUUGAGCAAAGAAAUUAAAGAUAUGAGAAGGGAAGGAAAAUUCUCUUUUUGAUUCUAUGUAUCUUUUUUUUUUAAAUUGUGGUUUGAAGUCUCAUUUUAUAUUAAAUGAAAGAGAAAGCCACUAAGCAAUCGCUAUAAAUCAAUUGGUAAUUAUAACAAUGAUGACAGUUAUAAGUCGUGAUAAAAUAAUGAAAGAUUUAUUGAAAAAUAAAUCAAAUGUUACAAAACCAUUACAAUGCCACUAUAGAUCAGUGAUGGACAAAAACCAUUACAAAUUAUUGACGAUAAAAAAUAUUAUAAAAACAUUUUUUUUUUGUAACUUCUAUAAAAGCUCUUGCUUUUAAAUAUUUCUACACUAUUGAAAUAUCUAACAACCCCCAAAUUUUUCAAAAGUUUUGAAAAGAAAAAAAACAGAAUAAUGAUGGGUUGUCAAAGUGUAAUGCAUUGGAACUAGUAAUUGUUAGGUUAUAAAUCGGACCAAGAAAAAAUUAUAUAUAAUUCAUAAAUCAUUGGUAAAGUUUGAAACUUCUAUGAACUAAGAAUUUCGUUUUAUGAAUUAUAAUUUUCUCUAAUCACAUUACACUCCCACAAAUAUUAUCGUUCAAUGUGAUUUGUGCUAGUAGGCCAUGCGCAUGCUUAGUUCAUUCAUAAGUGCUCUAAAAGAUUAUUGCCAAUAAUUCUUAUAAAAGCGGCCUCACUCUAUAUUUAUAUAAGUGAUUUUGAUUCCAUCAAGUGUUUUCUAUAGUUAAAUACUCCAUUUAUAAUGACUAUGGAAAUUAUUAAGAGUUUAGCUCAGUCACUUUUUCAUUAUAGUCUUAUGUUGACCUAAUUCACUGCAGUUAUUCUAGCUCGCGUCGAAAUUAAACUUAUCUUCAACUCGCACUAAAAUCAGAGCAUAAUCAAAAUAUCCACAUGAUAAGCAAUCUGAGAUUGAUAAUGUUAUCUCCAUCUCACACAAGAACUAGAGCACAAUCAAAAUAUUUGAGAUUGAUUCAAAUACUUUCACCGGAGGUUACUAAUUAUAUUGUCAAUGUAUAUCUCCUAAGAUUCUUGCUAAGUAUAUGUAUAUAAGAGUCAUCACUUAUUGUAAUGCAUAAUUCAAAAAUUAAAAUAUACAAUUCUUAUAUCUUCUCUAUUCUCUAUUUUCUACAUCUCUAUUUUUAUCUUGGUAUCAGAGCAGAAAAAGGCGAAAGCCUAUCAAUCCAAAUAUGAGUAAGUCAAAUUCUCUCCUGAACAAACUAUCCUUCAACAACGUCAGCCUCCCACUUCACUUAAAAGCAGUAGGUGCUCUUUAUCUUUUGUCUUUUCCUUCUUACUCCCAUUUCUGACUUUUCCCUUUCUCUUUUCUUUUGUCUUUUCCUUGUUUCUUCUCUUUUUUUUUCUUCGUGCGGUCUUCUUCUUGAAGGCCCCUCUGCAAAUGUCAGGCUUAACAAACUAUCGAACUCAUGCCGAAAUCAACAGACAAUGGACAAGCGAGACCCGACCUCAGUACAGGCACGAACGAAACACAGCAAGUCUCGGCCUUAGACGAAGGACACGAACGCGCAUCUAGCUUAGGCGUUUCAUCGAGCACUUGGCGUGGGACCUCCUGGGCAACGAGCAGCAGCUGAAACGGGACCUCAAUCGAAGACCGGGACAAACGGCAUGGGACAAACCGGGGCUUAACAGCUAGAAAGCAUAUGACAUAGCCGGGGUCGGAACUUAUACGACCUGAACGACGGAGGCUUCGGGCGCCGGUCCUUGGCAUGCCAACCAGCCUCCCCCUUGGCCGAACCAGCGUCUCAUCUCAGCAUUGAAGGCGUGUCCCAUCCGUUGCUGGCCUACUCCCCUCUCUCUGCCAUCGAUCGUCCUCCGCGCACCCGUCGACGACCUCUGCGCGCGUGAGUUGCAGAGAAGGGAAGGAAAGAGAAAGAAUAAGGGGCACGCCCAGCCCCUGUGGGCUAAUUUUUUUUUUUUAAUUAUCAAAAAAUAAGGUAGGAAAAAUAGAAAACAAAACUCAAUAGAUGUAAAUAAUAUUAAUACCUACGUCAUGUGAAAAUCAUUUUUUUGGGGGCAAAUUUGUCCAUAAUUUUCUAUGCAAAUUAAUCUCAAAUAAAUCAUUUUUUUUGGGGGCAAAUUUGUCCAUAAUUUUC
RNAcentral lists this long non-coding RNA (3816 nucleotides) under Eucalyptus grandis. Its description in RNAcentral is "long non-coding RNA (EGRA_LNC003385)". The record is from RNAcentral. Lineage: Eukaryota; Viridiplantae; Streptophyta; Magnoliopsida; Myrtales; Myrtaceae.